Molecule: long non-coding RNA, 1005 nt
Filed under: Ananas comosus (pineapple)
Lineage: Eukaryota; Viridiplantae; Streptophyta; Magnoliopsida; Poales; Bromeliaceae
Description: long non-coding RNA (ACOM_LNC028492)
Source: RNAcentral
AUUCUACGAGCUGGUGGAGCAUGAACUACUGAAAGAAGAUAUAUUUUUGAGUCUCCUUAUAGUGUUUAAAGUUUGAAAUUUAUAUGAUGAGUUAUAAAUUGACUGAAGUUGAAAAAGUUUUAAUUUUUGACAAAUUAAACUUUAAAUGGUGAGUUGUAAUUCAAUUAAAGUUCAGCAAUACCUGCUACACACAUGUACUCACUUUGUUAAGUUUAUUAAUUAUUAGAUUAUUGUUUAUUAGAUUAGAUUAUUUUUUUAUAAUAUAGUAUUAAAGUUAGUUUAAAGCCGUCUCAAUUCUAAAAAUAUUGGAGUGUGAGUUUUUGUAUCUGCUAUUUAACAACAUAAAAUUCUUGUUGAUAUUUCUUUCAUUAUCUCUCUUAUAAAUAUAUGUUAUAUCUAUAAUCUAUAAUCUAUAAUCUAUAACUCUAUAUGAAUCCCCAAUAAAAAUAAUGACAUGGCAAGCCCUCCUUUUUCUAGAUUUUAUACAUUUGUUUCCUCUCUUUGAAUUAACCAACCUCUCCUCUUCCUUCAACUGUUUCUCUUUGAACCGACCUCUCAUUUUCCUUCAACCGUUUUUCUUUUUCAUAUGACAUUUUAUCUUUCCAAUGUGAUCGUUUCUCUAUAUGAAUCCCUAAUAAAAAUGAUGACAUGGCAAGCCCUCCUUUUUCUAGAUUUUAUACAUUUGUUUGCUCUCUUUGAAUUAACCAACCUCUCCUCUUCCUUCAACUGUUUCUCUUUGAACCGACCUCUUCUUUUCCUUCAACCGUUUCUCUUUUUCAUAUGACAUUUUAUCUUUCCAAUGUGAUCGUUUCUCUUUCCCAUGACAUUUUAUCUUUCCAAUAUGACUGUUUCUCUUUCCCAUAUGAAAGUUAUCUUUUUCAUGCGACCGUUUUUCUUUUCCAUAUGACAAUUUAUUUUUCCGGUCAUGCAACCGUUUCUCUUUGCCAUAAGUUGUGGUUUCUUCUCCUGUUUCUUCAUUGCCAUUUUCUUUACCAUCUUGCCUUU